CGGGGUCAAAUGGAGUAGCAAGAGAGCGAAAGACGACCCACGCAAAAGGAGACAUACUUCCCUGGGUGAAAAUCCCUAAAACUGCCCUCUGACGGCUCCGCACGGACGCUUCUUGCAUGGCAGGGGAUUGCGCUGAACCUGUUUCAUGUGCUGGGCCAAAGUAGUUUAGAGGCGCACCUACAACUUAACUAUGCGGAGGCGCGAAUACCUAUUAUGACGAGC
This 222-nucleotide non-coding RNA is filed under the name unclassified sequences. The record is from Rfam.